AGAGUUUGAUCAUGGCUCAGAUUGAACGCUGGCGGCAUGCUUUACACAUGCAAGUCGAACGGCAGCGACAGGGAGCUUGCUCCCGGGUGGCGAGUGGCGCACGGGUGAGUAAUACAUCGGAACGUGUCCUGUUGUGGGGGAUAACUGCUCGAAAAGGGUGGCUAAUACCGCAUGAGACCUGAGGGUGAAAGCGGGGGAUCGCAAGACCUUCGCGCAAUUGGAGCGGCCGAUGCCCGAUUAGCUAGUUGGUGAGGUAAAGGCUCACCAAGGCGACGAUCGGUAGCUGGUCUGAGGAGGACGACCAGCCCACCACUGGGACUGAGACACGGCCCAGACUCCUACGGGAGGCAGCA
RNAcentral lists this ribosomal RNA (353 nucleotides) under uncultured bacterium. RNAcentral's name for it is "bacterial SSU rRNA". It matches the Rfam family "Bacterial small subunit ribosomal RNA", at positions 8 to 353 of the family's 1533-position model. The record is from RNAcentral.